GGGGCGCUGAAUUAUUCGAGUUAGUACAUGGAGGAAAGGUCUGUUUCAAAUGUUAUUCAAAGAUUAGGAGCGACGAUUCAAUGUCCGUUUGUGUAUUGUAUUUGUCGUGGUUGAAACGGCACCAGGAACAUAUCAGGAUAGACAACAGAAGUCUGUAAGUAUCUAUUUUAUGUAUUUAUAUAUAUUAACAUAGAUAUUAUAAGCCUUUCAUGCCUUCUGUUGACAAAUUUUCAUAACUAUGCACUGUUUUAGUAACACAGAUGUCCUUUUCGAAAAAAGAAAAACACACCUCAGUCGAAUCUUUCUUCUCAAAUGAAUGCCUGAAUGGUCAUCAAAUUUAAUACUUGUUAUGGGCAGGCAUUUUCGAAUAAUUUAAAAAAAAAAUGUAUUAAUUCUGACUGCAAGGAAUUUUAAAUGGUAAAUAAUAUACAUUGUAUCUCGAGGGAAAUGUACACACUUUAACAACAGUAAAUUUUUCAUAAAUAUUAUAUAUAUAGUAAAAGUGUAGCAUAUACAUGAUAUAUAUCAUGUGUAUUAACGAUUAAACUCUGGAAGAAAUAUAGUCCAGCAUGAAUACAAAUUAAAGGGUUUUUUUCUCAGAAAGGUAUCUCUUUCUUCAGAGGUUUAUAUGAAACGUUGAUGUCUGUUGUGCAGUGAUGUUUUUUUCUUCUCCGACGCCUGUAUGCGAGACAUGGUAGGUAUUGCAACCCAGCGCCAACGCGAGCGAGAUGGUGUACACUCAUUGUUUGAAGCAUUAUAUUUCUUAAGUUAGACAAUCUAAAUGCUUCAUACCUUAUGUUACGAAAUUUCCGUCUGUCAUAUGUCAUUGUCCCGGCAACCUUAUUUUCAUGGUUCAGUAAACUGCUUGAUACAUUUUGUUUUGUUAAAUGAAAAACUCACUUAUUAUGAGUAAUAUGAUAACUAUGUUUGGUAUAUGGGUUCCUAGCAACAUUUACAUGUUCGUCAGCUAGGUACAUGUAGGGUUAACCUGACCUCGACCUUAUUCCAUGGAUCAUGUAUCAAAGAUAAAGUAACUUAAGCAAGACCGUAUCUAGAUACUAUAACUAGUCAGUCAUCUAUAUUUGGUGUAUUGAUUAUUGAAAUGAUUGUAAGGUGUACAUAUCCACCCGAUAGGUUCCGUCUGACUUUGGCCUCAAUUUCAUGGUUCAUUGGUCAAUGUAUAGUGUUUGUGGUUUGGUCUAUUUCUCAAAUGUAUUAAGCAGUAGGGUCAAUAUAUAAUGUGUAUCAUGUUUGGAAUCAUUGUCAGUUGGAAAUGUCGGUCUGACAGGUCUCAAUUGACUUCGACCUCAUUUUUAUGGUUCAUUGAACAAUGUUUAGUUGUGUGGUUGGGUCAAUUUUUCGGGCAUUAUAAGCCAUAGGUCAAUAAUAUGUAGUGUAUGAAACAACUAUGACAACUGUGGUGUCAUGUCUAUCUGUCGGGGUUAACAUGACCUUAACCUAAUUGUUUGAUGAAAGAUGUUGUAUAAAGAUCUGAUUCUCAGGUACUAUUAGCAACACCAGAACACACCCACAAAAUCGCGGUCAUAUACAGCAUGUGAACUUUUUUCAAAGUCCGAUAUUUGUUUCCUUUCUGUUAAAUUCAAUAGUUUUUGUGUCUCUGGUCUCAGACCACAAUUAUUCUUCUCCUUUGCUACAAUGCAUCUUUUGGUAAAAGUCAAAUUAAAUCAAAAAUUUGCACCGCUUCAAACAUGAAAUAAAUGUAACUGCUUAUAUAUAGACCUUAUUAGUCUAAUAAAAUAUGCUUCUAGGACAAUCCAUCAGUGCUUUUUCUUUUGAGGGCAUUAUUAACAUGCCAAUGGUAGGAUAUGAAUCUUGUAUAUAUGACUAGCCGACUAAGGGUAAUUUGAGGGGAGGUCGGAAGGGUCCUGAUCCCGAAAUCCCGGGCUUAAAAACAUGAAAUCCCGAGAUGCAGAAUUUAAAGAAAUUCAUAUCCCGAAAUCGAAAAAUAUAUUCCCGGAUCCCGCAAGGGUCAAUCCCCAAAUCCCGAGGUCCCGAAAAAGUCCUGCCUCGAUCCCUCUUAUCCCUACCCUACUUUCUUUUUUGCCAACUCUCUACUUUCAAUUUCAACAAUAAAUUUUAUGCCCCAUCUUUGGGCAUUGUGUUUUCUAGUCUGCGAAUCUGUGCGUUCGUCCGUUUGUUUGUUCGUCCGUCCGUUGCAGAUUGAGGUUUUUGGUCGAGACAUGAUGAUUACUUUAUCAUGGUGGAAGGAAGAAAGCGACACACAAAAUGAGGUUUUCUCGGUUAAUAGCAGUCAUGACAACAAUCAUACAUUGUAGUUGUGCAUUGCUAAUGUUAAGUAUACGCGAUAUUUGUAGUAAAACCUCCAUACUAAAGACUUUCAACAUGAUUUGGAUAUGAAAGAAAAAGAUGUACCUAAAUUUCAAUAUAUUUUUGUAUCAGAGUGCCGAAGGCGCAUCUUUAACAUUUUGAGAGGAAAAUGGAUAUUUUGUUGAAGGGGGGGGGGGGAAUGUGUUGGGUACAUUACUCAUAUUUUUACCUGAGGAAGCUGCUGUUUUUUUUGGAACAUGUCUUACUUGUUUUCUGGUAUGUUGAAUGGGUAGGUAAAAGUAUUGUCAACACCAGUCCUGUGUUUUGUUUAAGACUUAAUGAAACCUGUUUUUAAUUGUUAUUUGUGUCUUCAGUUCGCUGUCUCCUAGGCAUGAACCAUUCAUCUGUUUUAAGACUCUAUGAUUGAUUGAUUGAUUGAUCAUGACUGGCUGAAUGUCCAAUGGCAAAUAUUACAUGCAUAUUCAGGAAGUUGGGAACGAUUCAUGCCAAUCCUGAUAAAAAAUAAAGAAAUAUGCCUGAAGAAAAACAAUAACAGAGUAAGUGUUCCUGCAUUUUAAACUUCAAAUAUUUCUUGUAGAGUGAGAAAAAUGUUAUGAAACACCAGCAAAAAAGACUAGAUUGUUAUUCAGUCCUGACUUAUACAGUGUUUCUGAAGAUGGAGAUUAGGUAUGUAAUAAUGAGUUUUUAAUUUGAUAGAGUGUUGACUUUUAAAUUGUAAAAGUUUAAUGAGUUACUGUACGUUAAUCCCUUUAUUGUAUAAAAAAAAAAUUCAACAAUUACUGUUCAAGUGCAUAGCAUAGCCAUCUUUAUCUUGCUGUAUCCAGAGGCAAUAUAGAUAUAUAAGAAGAUGUGGUAUGGGUGCCAAUGAGACAACUCUCCAUCCAAGUCACAAUUUAUAAAAGUAAAUCAUUAUAGGUCAAAGUACGGACUUCAACACGGAGCAAGACUGUUAUUAAUGACAAUAAAGAGAGUGAAUAUAAACAAAAUAGACAUCAUAAUUUAGAUUAAAAGAAAGACAGACGGUUUCUUCAUCAAAUAUAAUGAAUUUUGGUAUGAUAACUAAAAAUAUUUGAAAUUGUUUUGAAUUUGUCGUUACUUCUUUCAGAUCAGGCCUAUCCAGAAGCAAGA
RNAcentral lists this long non-coding RNA (3438 nucleotides) under Mytilus galloprovincialis (Mediterranean mussel). The record is from RNAcentral. Lineage: Eukaryota; Metazoa; Mollusca; Bivalvia; Mytilida; Mytilidae.